Molecule: ribosomal RNA, 253 nt
Filed under: uncultured bacterium
Lineage: Bacteria
Description: partial 16S ribosomal RNA
Rfam family: Bacterial small subunit ribosomal RNA
Source: RNAcentral
UACGUAGGGGGCAAGCGUUGUCCGGAAUUACUGGGCGUAAAGAGCGUGUAGGCGGCCACGCAGGUCCGUUGUGAAAACUGGAGGCUCAACCUCCAGCUGUCGACGGAAACCGUGUGGCUAGAGUCCGGAAGAGGAGAGUGGAAUUCCUGGUGUAGCGGUGAAAUGCGCAGAUAUCAGGAAGAACACCAAUGGCGAAGGCAGCUCUCUGGGACGGUACUGACGCUGAGACGCGAAAGCGUGGGGAGCGAACAGG